This 405-nucleotide ribosomal RNA is filed under the name uncultured bacterium. RNAcentral's name for it is "partial 16S ribosomal RNA". It matches the Rfam family "Bacterial small subunit ribosomal RNA", at positions 28 to 526 of the family's 1533-position model. The record is from RNAcentral.
GAUGAACGCUGGCGGCGUGCCUAAUACAUGCAAGUCGAGCGAAGCGGGGACGGGUGAGUAACACGUGGAUAACCUCCUAUAAGACUGGGAUAACUUCGUGAAACCGGAGCUAAACCGGAUACUUAUCGAUGGAUCCGCGCUUCAUUAGCUAGUUGGUAAGGUAACGGCUUACCAAGGCAACGAUGCAUAUCCGACCUGCGAGGGUGAUCGGCCACACUGGAAAUGAGACACGGGCCAGAAUUCGACGGGAGGCAGCAGGAGGGAAGCUUCCGCAAUGGGCGAAAGCCUGACGGAGCAACGCCGCGUGAGUGAUGAAGGUCUUCGGAUCGUAAAACUCUGUUAGUAGGGAAGCGGUACCUAAGCAGAAAGCCACGGCUAAAUACGUGCCAGCAGCCGCGGUAAUUC